Molecule: long non-coding RNA, 345 nt
Filed under: Sorghum bicolor (sorghum)
Lineage: Eukaryota; Viridiplantae; Streptophyta; Magnoliopsida; Poales; Poaceae
Description: long non-coding RNA (SBIC_LNC017148)
Source: RNAcentral
UUCUAAACUAUAAUUCAGUUAUUUCUCUCCAAAUCCUAGGCAGAAAAAAGAUUUUUUUUUUUACGUUGGCAUCAUGAUGGUAUUUUAGCUAAUUUUCCCGAUGUUAUGUGCGAGCCACAUUUCCAUCAUUAUUGACUUCAUGUGGUUGAUGUUUGAUUGUCACAUACUCUUCCCGACGCUGUUUUUAAGUUGAAUUUGUUCUAAUUUUUACUAAACUUUUUAAUAGAUAAACUUUUAACACAAUGUAUGCAAGUUCAAGCUUCACCCUUCGGAAAAGAGGAAUCAAUCCACAGUUAUUAGAAUGCAGUUUUUUUUAUCAGGUACAAUUUGACACACAAGCUACAC